RNAcentral lists this ribosomal RNA (224 nucleotides) under uncultured Sphingobacteriales bacterium. Its description in RNAcentral is "partial 16S ribosomal RNA". It matches the Rfam family "Bacterial small subunit ribosomal RNA", at positions 114 to 334 of the family's 1533-position model. The record is from RNAcentral. Lineage: Bacteria; Pseudomonadati; Bacteroidota; Sphingobacteriia; Sphingobacteriales.
CGCGUAGGUAACCUGCCUUGUAGCGGGGGAUAACUAUUGGAAACGAUAGCUAAUACCGCAUAACAAUGGAUGACACAUGUCAUUUAUUUGAAAGGGGCAAUUGCUCCACUACAAGAUGGCCUGCGUUGUAUUAGCUAGUAGGUGAGGUAACGGCUCACCUAGGCGACGAUACAUAGCCGACCUGAGAGGGUGAUCGGCCACACUGGGACUGAGACACGGCCCAG